RNAcentral lists this ribosomal RNA (238 nucleotides) under uncultured bacterium. RNAcentral describes it as "partial 16S ribosomal RNA". It matches the Rfam family "Bacterial small subunit ribosomal RNA", at positions 96 to 334 of the family's 1533-position model. The record is from RNAcentral.
CGGCAGACGGGUGAGUAACACGUGGGCAACCUACCCCGAGGCGGGGGAUAACCACUGGAAACGGUGGCUAAUACCGCAUGAGACCACGACCCUGCGGGGUCAUGGUUAAAGGCUUCGGCCACCUUGGGAGGGGCCCGCGGCCGAUUAGCUAGUUGGUGAGGUAAUGGCUCACCAAGGCGACGAUCGGUAGCUGGUCUGAGAGGAUGAUCAGCCACACUGGUACUGAGACACGGACCAG